Molecule: long non-coding RNA, 822 nt
Organism: Eubalaena glacialis (North Atlantic right whale)
Lineage: Eukaryota; Metazoa; Chordata; Mammalia; Artiodactyla; Balaenidae
Exons: 3
Source: RefSeq, a predicted model, not a curated record
CUUCAGGGCCACUCCGCCCCCUCCAGAACCAGUCUCGGGGCUGGCCUCCGGCUCGCUCCCACCUGGGUGGUUCUUUUCAGUGUUGUUUCGGUGCCUGGCUCCUUUUUCCAUGUUUCUCAGUAGGAUUUCAACCUCCGAAAGGUAUCUCUCUUUCUAAUGCAUAUGGGUGUAAAUAUAUUUAGAGAGAAAGCCUUUCAAAUGGAGAUGUCCUUUUCCGUGAUGUGAUAAGGACCACUCCUACCCUCUUUAAAAAAAAAAAAAAAAAAAAAAAGACCCAGGCAGAUAAAAGAGAAAAAUGAAAAUAUUCCUACUCUGCCUUGACACUUUCUUGUCACUCGUGCUUACAAACAAGGACCUGGGUCAAAAAGGAUCUGAUUUCAAUUAAAGCCAGCUUUCUUCUUAGAAUUCCAGCGACCACUGCCUAUAGUCAAACAGUGGCUUCCUGAGCUAGUGGUUCUAAGAGACUUUAUUUCAUUAAAAAUGCAAAGCAGAUGAAAAUUAGUGAGCAAAGAAGAAGGAAGUAAGGAAGAAAAGGCCAAAACAGGUAUCUGAAACUUAAAAAGCCCAGUGCCGGGCUUCCCUGGUGGCGCAGUGGUUGAGAGUCUGCCUGCCGAUGCAGGGGACACGGGUUUGAGCCCUGGUCUGGGAAGAUGCCACAUGCCGCGGAGCAACUAGGCCUGUGAGCCACAACUACUGAGCCUGCGCUUCUGGAGUCUGUGCUCCGCAACAAGAGAGGCCACGAUAAUGAGAGGCCCGCGCACCACGAUGAAGAGUGGCCCCCGCUUGCCGCAACUGGAGAAAGCCCUCGCACAGAAACGAAGA